RNAcentral lists this ribosomal RNA (478 nucleotides) under uncultured bacterium. RNAcentral's name for it is "bacterial SSU rRNA". It matches the Rfam family "Bacterial small subunit ribosomal RNA", at positions 9 to 507 of the family's 1533-position model. The record is from RNAcentral.
GAGUUUGAUCCUGGCUCAGAUUGAACGCUGGCGGCAUGCCUUACACAUGCAAGUCGAACGGCAGCACGGGGGCAACCCUGGUGGCGAGUGGCGAACGGGUGAGUAAUACAUCGGAAUGUACCCAGUAGUGGGGGAUAACUAGUCGAAAGAUUAGCUAAUACCGCAUACGCACUAUGGUGGAAAGCGGGGGAUCGCAAGACCUCGCGCUAUUGGAGCAGCCGAUGUCCGAUUAGGUAGUUGGUGGGGUAAAGGCCUACCAAGCCUGCGAUCGGUAACUGGUCUGAGAGGACGACCAGUCACACUGGGACUGAGACACGGCCCAGACUCCUACGGGAGGCAGCAGUGGGGAAUUUUGGACAAUGGGGGAAACCCUGAUCCAGCCAUGCCGCGUGAGUGAUGAAGGCCCUAGGGUUGUAAAGCUCUUUCAACGGUGAAGAUAAUGACGGUAACCGUAGAAGAAGCCCCGGCUAACUUCGUG